UGCCAGCCGCCGCGGUAAUACGGAGACCUCGAGCGUUACUCGGAUUCACUGGGCGUAAAGGGUGAGUAGGUGGCCAAGUAUGUCAGGUGUGAAAUCCCGGGGCUUAACCCCGGAACUGCGCCUGAAACUACUUGGCUAGAGUCUCGGAGAGGUGAGUGGAACUCCAAGUGUAGAGGUGAAAUUCGUAGAUAUUAGGAAGAACAUCAGUGGCGAAGGCGACUCACUGGUCCGAUACUGACGCUGAGGUGCGAAAGCGUGGGUAGCAAACAGGAUUAGAUA
RNAcentral lists this ribosomal RNA (279 nucleotides) under uncultured bacterium. RNAcentral's name for it is "partial 16S ribosomal RNA". It matches the Rfam family "Bacterial small subunit ribosomal RNA", at positions 506 to 784 of the family's 1533-position model. The record is from RNAcentral.